UACGAAGGGGGCUAGCGUUGCUCGGAAUCACUGGGCGUAAAGGGCGCGUAGGCGGCCAUUCAAGUCAGAGGUGAAAGCCCAAGGCUCAACCUUGGAACUGCCUUUGAUACUGUUUGGCUUGAGACCGGUAGAGGUAAGUGGAACUGCGAGUGUAGAGGUGAAAUUCGUAGAUAUUGGGAAGAACACCGGUGGCGAAGGCGGCUCACUGGCCCGUAACUGACGCUGAGGUGCGAAAGCGUGGGGAGCAAACAGG
Molecule: ribosomal RNA, 253 nt
Filed under: uncultured bacterium
Lineage: Bacteria
Description: partial 16S ribosomal RNA
Rfam family: Bacterial small subunit ribosomal RNA
Source: RNAcentral